CAUUACUCCCAAUGUUGCUUUCCAAUCACAACUCAGCUAUUUUUUCAAAAUAAUAACUAUUUUUUCUCUCUUUUCUCUCUCUUCCCUUUCACGGUUUCUAUUUCUCAAAGUUCUUAUGAUUUCUCUCAAAUCCAUAACCCUAAACCCUCUUCUUUCGUCUCAUUCUCUUUCACCACAACCGCCGCCACUGUCAUGUCUCUUUAUUGUCAUCAACGCAACAAAAAGUUUCAACGAUUCACAUUAUAAGGUUUUCACAUAUAUGGAUUUUUUCGUUGUUAAGGAUGGUGAUGAAUAGAGUAGUGAUGAAGAGGGCCCCUGGUUUUUCGUUAAACUUGCAGCUGUUCUUCUUAGAUCUGGAUUUUUGCUGUUGAUAUUUAGCGAUGAAGAUUGAAUAAUUUUUUUUUUAGAUCUCUCAUUAUUUCUUUCAUUUUUCAGCCUUUUUUGUUCAGGUGUUCGUGAAUAUUGCCUUCUAAUUCCAUGAUUCGUUAAAUUUUUCUUCUUAUGUGUUCUUUGGAAUGAUUAAUUUUUUUAAUUUCUAUUUGAUUGUAGAUUUACCUCUACAGUCACGGUAGAAUUGAUGGUUGGCGUAGGCGUAUAGAGUGUCUUGCUAGCCUUUGAAGGAGCAGCGAUAGAAAACCGAGUCAACGGUAGCAUAAAUCUAAGGGCUAGGAGUUUUCACAAAAAGAACUCAACUGGCUUAGCCCACGUUUCCGAGGAAGGUGCUUCCAAGAAGAAGACAUUUGUAGCAGAAAUGUUGGUGGUAUAUCUCCAAAAACAGGGGCUGCUAUGGAAGUCUUCUUAGGAUCGAUUUCCAUCGAAGAUUAUGACUCGAUGGAAUCUUCCUUAAUUCAAAUGGUUUGUGGGAGACUUAGCCAUAAAUGUUACCGAUGCUAUACUGCAGGAGGUAUCGCCGAAUGGAUGGGAAAUGAUGAUAUCACUCGGUUUCAUGGCUGCAGCAAGGAUAAUCUGGAUUCUUAAGAAUUGGAAAAGCUUAUAUCUAAUAUGAACAUUUCAGUGGAUUCUGCUUGUAAUUUAAAUAACGCUGUUGUAGAGUCACUCGGUCCAAGAAUUUGGAGUUUCUGAUCCGUGAGAAGAAAUACCGACUUCAUACACGGAGAAUUCCAGCUGCAAACAGUAACGAGUCAGUUGUAGUUCUUGACACUAUUAGAAGAAGCACUCAGUUUUAUUCUUCUUAAUCGAUAGUUGAAGCUACCGCCGCUGCCAUGAAAAAUAUGAACAUGAAAGAUUGUAGAGAUUACAAAUGGAAGUAAGGUCAAAUAUGAACUUGACAAACAGACUUGGAUUAAUUAAGGCAAACAACUUCUUCAAUUGGAACGUGAGAUAGGAUUCGUCAUCAAUCUCAUGAAUGGCCACAGGGGUUGAAAUAUGUGUACAAGUUCAAAUUCAAGUAAAAAAAGCCACAUCAACAUGACAAUGAUAUGAUGUUUAUGUAGUGGUAGGAAAUAUCAGCAUCAAUGGUAAUAUCAAAGGAAAUCUCUUAUUUAUUUCUUCCAUAAAGUAUAGAUUCUUUUUUCUAUUUUUGAUAUUCAUGCCACUUAUUUUUUUUUUAAAAUCUUUUUAACAUCUUUUUCAUUUAUUUUGUUUUUUCAUGUUACUGAUAAGAAAACGGAAAAGGUUAAA
Molecule: long non-coding RNA, 1641 nt
Organism: Vicia villosa (hairy vetch)
Lineage: Eukaryota; Viridiplantae; Streptophyta; Magnoliopsida; Fabales; Fabaceae
Exons: 11
Source: RefSeq, a predicted model, not a curated record